GACGAACGCUGGCGGCGUGCCUAAUACAUGCCAGUAGAACGCUGAAGGAGGAGCUUGCUUCUCUGGAUGAGUUGCGAACGGGUGAGUAACGCGUAGGUAACCUGCCUGGUAGCGGGGGAUAACUAUUGGAAACGAUAGCUAAUACCGCAUAAUAGCAGUUGUUGCAUGACAACUGUUUGAAAGGUGCAAUUGCACCACUACCAGAUGGACCUGCGUUGUAUUAGCUAGUUGGUGGGGUAACGGCUCACCAAGGCGACGAUACAUAGCCGACCUGAGGGGGUGAUCGGCCACACUGGGACUGAGACACGGCCCAGACUCCUACGGGAGGCAGCAGUAGGGAAUCUUCGGCAAUGGACGGAAGUCUGACCGAGCAACGCCGCGUGAGUGAAGAAGGUUUUCGGAUCGUAAAGCUCUGUUGUAAGAGAAGAACGAGUGUGAGAGUGGAAAGUUCACACUGUGACGGUAUCUUACCAGAAAGGGACGGCUAACUACGUG
Molecule: ribosomal RNA, 495 nt
Filed under: uncultured bacterium
Lineage: Bacteria
Description: partial 16S ribosomal RNA
Rfam family: Bacterial small subunit ribosomal RNA
Source: RNAcentral